UGCAUAGGAAUCUACCUAGUAGUAUGGGAUAGCCACUAGAAAUGGUGGGUAAUACUGUAUAAUCCCUGCGGGGGAAAGAUUUAUCGCUAUUAGAUGAGCCUAUGUUAGAUUAGCUAGUUGGUAGGGUAAAGGCCUACCAAGGCGAUGAUCUAUAGCUGGUCUGAGAGGAUGAUCAGCCACACUGGAACUGAGAUACGGUCCAGACUCCUACGGGAGGCAGCAGUGGGGAAUAUUGGACAAUGGGCGCAAGCCUGAUCCAGCUAUGCCGCGUGAGUGAGGAAGGCCUUAGGGUUGUAAAACUCUUUCAGUAGGGAAGAUAAUGACGGUACCUACAGAAGAAGUCCCGGCAAACUCCGUGCCAGCAGCCGCGGUAAUACGGAGGGGGCAAGCGUUGUUCGGAAUUAUUGGGCGUAAAGGGCAUGUAGGCGGUUCGGUAAGUUAAAGGUGAAAUGCCAGGGCUUAACCCUGGAGCUGCUU
RNAcentral lists this ribosomal RNA (477 nucleotides) under Anaplasma phagocytophilum. Its description in RNAcentral is "bacterial SSU rRNA". It matches the Rfam family "Bacterial small subunit ribosomal RNA", at positions 114 to 626 of the family's 1533-position model. Lineage: Bacteria; Pseudomonadati; Pseudomonadota; Alphaproteobacteria; Rickettsiales; Anaplasmataceae. The record is from RNAcentral.